UCUUUAACUAAUGUAAUGUAAGCAAAUGGGAAAUGUGUCUCUAUAUCAUUAUGCUGAAAUCUAUCUCGUUGUUACAGGCUUUCAGAAGCUGCUGGAUCCUCUUCACUCUGACUUGCUGAUAGUUUUAUCUUGCAGCAUUAUUCUGAACGUUGCUUUCAUUUGUAUAAGAUGUAAACUGCCCUGUACACACUGUGCAGAUGAAAAGAACAGUGAUAUAUCAAAAGUGGAAUGGUCACGCAAGCAAUGCCAUGACGAGGACACACUGAAUUACGCUGCCCUGAACCUUAAGAAGCCAAAACCCAGGAGACAGAAGAAAGAUGGGAAUAAUGACACUCUGUAUUCUGACCUCCGGUACAGAGAUUAUGAAUAAAGAUGCUUCUCAUUCAUGUCAGUCACACAGAGGGUUCAGGGUGUAGCUUUAAUAAUGUUCAGAAGGAGGGCAGGGGAGCCAGUGCUUCUGAGACUGAAUCACGGGAUUUUACGGAGCCCGAUCCUCGUGUGUGCCACGCCCCCCUGAUUAUCCACAUGUGCUUCCCUGAUUGUACCCAGCUGUACUCUGUUGUCUUGUCUAUUUCAGUCCCAGUCUUGCCUCAGUUCAUUGUCCGUCAUUGAUGCUAGUGAGUCUUCGAGCCGCUGUUCUGUCCUGUCCGUCCCGUUCGUUAAUAAAUCCCCAGUUUUCCCCGA
This is a long non-coding RNA of Brienomyrus brachyistius, 684 nucleotides long. RefSeq lists it as uncharacterized. The record is from RefSeq and is a predicted model, not a curated record. The transcript is spliced from 3 exons. NCBI's taxonomy places the organism in Eukaryota, Metazoa, Chordata, Actinopteri, Osteoglossiformes, Mormyridae.